CCUACGGGAGGCAGCAGUAGGGAAUCUUCCACAAUGGGCGAAAGCCUGAUGGAGCAACACCGCGUGGGUGAAGAAGGUCUUCGGAUCGUAAAACCCUGUUGUUAGAGAAGAAAGUGCGUGAGAGUAACUGUUCACGUUUCGACGGUAUCUAACCAGAAAGCCACGGCUAACUACGUUCCAGCAGCCGCGGUAAUACGUAGGUGGCAAGCGUUAUCCGGAUUUAUUGGGCGUAAAGGGAAGCGAGGCGGGCUUGUAAGUCUGAUAGUAAAGCCUUCGGCUUAACCGGAGGAGUGCAUUGGAAACUGGGAGACUUGAGUGCAGAAGUGGAGAGUGGAACUCCAUGGGUAGCGGGGAAAUGCGUAGAUAUAUGGAAGAACACCAGUGGCGAAAGCGGCUCUCUGGUCUGUAACUGACGCUGAGGUUCGAAAGCGUGGGUAGCAAACAGGAUUAGAUACCCCAGUAGUC
RNAcentral lists this ribosomal RNA (465 nucleotides) under uncultured bacterium. RNAcentral's name for it is "partial 16S ribosomal RNA". It matches the Rfam family "Bacterial small subunit ribosomal RNA", at positions 338 to 795 of the family's 1533-position model. The record is from RNAcentral.